Molecule: ribosomal RNA, 253 nt
Filed under: uncultured bacterium
Lineage: Bacteria
Description: partial 16S ribosomal RNA
Rfam family: Bacterial small subunit ribosomal RNA
Source: RNAcentral
UACAGAGGCCCCGAGCGUUAGACGGAAUCACUGGGCUUAAAGCGUGUGUAGGUGGAUGCCUAAGUACCUUGUGAAAUCCCACGGCUUAACCGUGGAAUUGCUGGGUAUACUGGGUGUCUUGAGCCACUCAGGGGCUACCGGAACAAAUGGUGGAGCGGUGAAAUGCGUAGAUAUCAUUUGGAACGCCAAUAGUGAAAACAGGUAGCUGGGGGUGUGCUGACACUGAGACACGAAAGCCAGGGGAGCAAACGGG